Molecule: non-coding RNA, 30 nt
Filed under: Mus musculus (house mouse)
Lineage: Eukaryota; Metazoa; Chordata; Mammalia; Rodentia; Muridae
Source: RNAcentral
UCAGAGUUUAAAGAAAAUGGACUCAUGCAC